This 253-nucleotide ribosomal RNA is filed under the name uncultured bacterium. Its description in RNAcentral is "partial 16S ribosomal RNA". It matches the Rfam family "Bacterial small subunit ribosomal RNA", at positions 524 to 776 of the family's 1533-position model. The record is from RNAcentral.
UACAGAGGUCCCGAGCGUUGUUCGGAUUCACUGGGCGUAAAGGGUGCGUAGGUGGUGAGGUAAGUCGGAUGUGAAAUCUCCGGGCUUAACCCGGAAACUGCAUUGGAAACUACCUUGCUUGAGGAUUUGAGGGGGGAUUGGAAUACUUGGUGUAGCAGUGAAAUGCGUAGAUAUCAAGUGGAACACCAGUGGCGAAGGCGAAUCCCUGGAAAAUACCUGACACUGAGGCACGAAAGCUAGGGGAGCAAACAGG